CGACCGGCGCACGGGUGAGUAACGCGUAUGCAACUUACCUAUCAGAGGGGGAUAGCCCGGCGAAAGUCGGAUCAAUACCCCAUGAAACAGGGGUCCCGCAUGGGAAUAUUUGUUAAAGAUUCAUCGCUGAUAGAUAGGCAUGCGUUCCAUUAGGCAGUUGGCGGGGUAACGGCCCACCAAACCGACGAUGGAUAGGGGUUCUGAGAGGAAGGUCCCCCACAUUGGAACUGAGACACGGUCCAA
RNAcentral lists this ribosomal RNA (243 nucleotides) under uncultured bacterium. RNAcentral describes it as "partial 16S ribosomal RNA". It matches the Rfam family "Bacterial small subunit ribosomal RNA", at positions 92 to 334 of the family's 1533-position model. The record is from RNAcentral.